AGGGAAAGUCGUGUGUGAUCAGCAACAGUAUGAGCAAGGCUAUUCCAGCAAUGAAUCUGUACAGCGGGUGUAAGUUUUCCCAAGCAGCCGACAUUUUACGAGUGCCGGGCUUUUAAGCCACAAAACCGUAUGGUGUCGGCUGCAAAGCACCCUUAAAGUGUCAGAUUUAAGAUUUUGUAUUAAAAGCAGCCGACAUUUAGCGGUUUAACAAUUUGUACCGGAAAAAUCUCAGCUAAGGGGUUUUUUAAACUUUUCUCUUACAACGAAAUAAUUUGAACUUACUCCUAGACUUUUAAAGAAAACGUCACAAAUGUUUUUUGAAAUGUUAAUUACAAAAAAGUAGUAAUAAAAAUUUCAAAAAACUUAUUUGCUUUUGACCGAAAAUUUUCAGUCAAAGAUUUUGUUCGAAAAAAAUUUCUGAAAUUUUAGCAAAUAAUUACUAUUGGUUUUAUUGAUAAUUUUUACAUUUUGAAAUACAAUUUCAAAGGAGUAAAAAAUAAUUCUGUGUGUAAGUUCUCAAUUCGGAACGUUUUCAAAAAUGUUAACUUUUCCGAACAAUUUUUUAAAAUUGAUUUUUUUAGUUGGGCAAAUAGCAAAAAUAAUACAGCACUGAUUUCACCAAAAAUACGUUGAGAUUGUUUUCGAAAAUGAUAAAAUAAGCAACUAAAUCACUUUUCUAAAAAUCCAGAAAAAAUGUUGAAAAAAAAGUUUUUGGCAGAAAAUUUUCGCUUUAUUUCUCUUCUUCUAAAUUUCUUCUAAAUUCUAAAUGUUCUCUAUUUCUAAAUUUUUUUUUCGAAAAAUAAAUUGUCUUUAAAACAACCAAAAUUAUUCCUUACAAUUAAUAGACCUACUGUUUUUGUUAAAAAUUUAAAAAUUUUUUGAAAAUUUUUUUGAAUUUUGAAAAAAAAAGUAAAAUUUUCAGUCAACAGCUGCACCGACCUAAUGGCCCUAAUCGACAAAUUGAUGAAGCCAUUCAUGAAUCAAUGCAAGCAAGUGAUCAACAAAUGCCUCAAGGUCCUGAACAACUGCAAGGCUAACAACAAACAAACUGGAGUCAAGAAACAGAACGCCUGUAUGAACAAAGUAUGGGGACAGGGUAUUGCUAUGGUUACCAAACAAUUCGUCAAUAAGGUGUGCACGGCUCUUUCCAAAAAGAUGACUGCAAAGGAAUGGAAUUGCUGCAAGACGUAUGCUGUGAAGGUUGUCGAUGUCAAGCCAUACAAGUGCUACCUUAUCGAGAAAUAAGAAGGAACUUUUGAUCAUUUGAUAAUGCCUCGAAAUUGACCUUCCCGUUUUAGUGAAUAAAUGUUUGAGAGCCUUUUUUACUCGUUUGAAUAACCAGUAUUUUUCCGGCAAAAAAAGCAAGGGUUCACUUCAGGGGUGUGCGGCAAGUUUGCCGAAUUCGCCGUUUGUUAAAUUUGCCGAGUUCGCAAAAUUUCGAAAUUUGCAGCACACAUCAAAAAUUUGUCAAUAGAAUUUUGACCAAAACUAUUGAUUUUGUCCCUAAAAUUGAGUUUCUGUAUCCGAUUCAUUUUUACAGGCAUAUGACUGCACUUUUUUGCAAAAAAACAAUUUUGGAAUUUUGCCAUAAUUGAUAUGGCCCUGAAUAGAUAAUUUUUUUCUAAGAUUAUUGGUAGGUUUCUGGACCUAGAUAUUGAAUUUAAGACGCGAUACAGGGGUUUUUUAUCCGAUUCAUUUUUUUACAGGACUGCACUUUUUUGCAAAAAAAAAUUUGGAAUUUUGCCAUAAUUAAUAUUGCCCUGAAUGGAUAUUUUUAUUUUAAUAUUAUUGGUAGGUUUCUGGACCUAGAUAUUGAAUUUAAGACGUGCUUUUGGGGGAAUUGAUAUGGUAAAAAAGUUGGUUUUUUUUUAAAUAUUACUGGUAAAUUUCGGGACCUGGAAAUUAAAUUUAAGCCGCGCUACAGGGGAUUUUGUCUCGAAGUUCAAAUUCAACAGGUAUACAAACACAAUAUACAGGCACAAAAAAACAAAAAUAAAAAUUUUGGAAUUUUGAGGGAAUUGAUAUGGUAUAAAAUUUCUAAUUUUUUUUUAGUAUUAUGGGUACGUUUCUGGGUAUAGAAAUUCGAUUUCGGCCGCGCUACAGAGGUUUUUGUCUUGAAUUCCAAUUUCAACAGGUAUAUAGGCACAAAAAAACAAAAAUAAAAAUUUUGGAAUUUUGGGGGAAUUGAACUCAGUGAAUCUUGAACUCAGUGAAACUGGGUGAAUCUUUGUGAGCUUCUGCUUCAUCUCCGCUGAUUCCUCGAAGCGUCUGGCAACCAGAAUGUUGAACGGGCUGAUGCAAAUCGAUGCAACUAGAAGCCAUAAUGAGUAGCCAUACUGGAAAACAUAAACUAUGUAUAACACUAUAACACUAUAAUACUAUAACACUAUAAACUUUGGCCUAAACUAUUUCAGGAACCUACCCCAACAAACUCAUGCUCCUCAUCCCACUUUGCCGACAGGGUGAGCAAGUUUAAACCAGCAAUCAUGAGAAGUGUGCUAGCUAGCAACAUAUAUUUAAUGAAUUUCAGCAAAUAACUGAACCUCCGAAAAUAUUGAUAAUUGUGCGACUCGUGAAUCAGAAAGAUAUACGCCACGACAACUAGAUUUUGACAAAUGUUUUAAUAUUAAAUUCUAAAAAAGACAAAAAUAGAAAAAUAAAAAUUUUUAGUUGAAACCUUUGAUCCAACAGCAAACACUUCCAAUCCAAAAAUCCAAAUAAACUUGCUAAAUCUUUUGUUUUUGGUUUUGGGUUUUGAAAAGUUGUUUUGGUAAUAACAACGGGCUAGUAUAAAACAAAGUAAUGUUUUUCGACAGAAUACAUUCCGAUUACUUUUAAAUAUAUUUUUCAGUCUUGAACUUGAUCUCAUGUUGGCUGAAGUUUAAAAUCAAUAAGAAUUUGGUAAGAUUUCCGUAAACUAGAUAAAUUUCAAAUAUUUUUUUUAUUCAAACGCAGCUGACAUUUUACGGGUCGUAACAAACCCGUAAUCUGUCGGUUGCUUUAUCAACUUUUGGGCGCAAUUUUCACGCUUUAUUGUUUUUAUAAACCAUGGCUUAAAAAUUGAUCUGUUUUCCUUUAGAAAAGGUCUAUUUUUAUGCAGUUUAUUUUUUCAAAAAAAUGUUUUUUUUUCAAAUGUUCUAAAAACUUAAAAUCACUGAAUUAUUUAAAAAAUCCCGCGCAAAUAAUUUUAAUUUAAAAAAAAAAUUUUUUAAAUAAUAUUUGUGUAUAAAAUUACCAAAAUCCCCUACUCCUUGUUUAAUUAAAAUAAAAAUCUUCCAAUUUUUUUACCUGAACAUCUUUAAAUUUCUUUUUAUUUUUAUUUUUGGGGUUAUCCCUGAUACUUCAAAUUGGCGACUAGAUUUCAAAUAACAAAUUUCUCUGAAUUUUCCCAAUUUUUUCAAAUUUUGAUCACAGUUUUCCUUGGCUCUUGGGCUUGGGUUUAGGCCUCCAAUUUGAAAGUUUUUCGAAAAAAAAAAUCGAUUCAAAUCAUACUUUACACCCGAAAUUACUUCCAUUUCAAACAAUCACCCAAGUUCACAUCGAAAACCCGAAAAACUCAAAAAUCGGGGGGAUUUGGUGACCGUUGAACGUCGACGCACUCUCCACCCAUCUUUUGAGUACUGUGAACCUGCGAUAAGCCGGAUCACAAAAAUGGAACAAUUUGCGGUUAUAAAAUGAGUGGGGGAUUGCGGUGGAAGUUCAUCCAUUGGUUGUGGCGAGUGCAAUCACUUUUUUGUCAUUGUUUUAUUCGGCGGGGGGAUUUAUUUGUACUCGCAAGUACCAGUUCCGAAACUGCCAAAUAUCAUAAUUCAGCACACCUAAAAAUUUAGUGUUCCGGAAUUCACUGUCAAAGUUUUGCUAAUCGCCCAAACUUUAAAAAAUUGGAAAAAACUUUUUCCCAGUUUUUUCCUUACUUUACUUCUCAUUUUUCUCGAUUCUAAAUUUUCUAAUUAGUUUUUCAACUUUCUUCAGAAAAUGGCCAGACUUCUCUCCACACUUCUUCUGGUCUCCUCAAUCUCCGUGGUCCAUGUGUCCGCUCAGGCCAACCGAGCAAAGGUUUGCGAGAAGGCCGUCAAUUUGGGUGUCACCUUCUACACGGCGUCGGAAUUGCAGCCGGUUGGUUUUUAAUGAAAAAAAAAAAGCUGGUAAUUUUUUGAUUUCGCUUUCAGAUUCUUGCCUGUAUCGAACCAACACUCUACAAUACACCCGAAGACACUACUGCUCUCAUUGAUAG
Molecule: small RNA, 4234 nt
Filed under: Caenorhabditis elegans
Lineage: Eukaryota; Metazoa; Nematoda; Chromadorea; Rhabditida; Rhabditidae
Description: Unclassified non-coding RNA T02B11.14
Source: RNAcentral